GGAUCCAGACUUUGAUUCUGGCUCAUGACGAACGCUGGCGGCGUGCUUAACACAUGCAAGUCGAACGAGAAUCUACUGAAAGAGUUUUCGGACAAUGGAUGUAGAGGAAAGUGGCGGACGGGUGAGUAACGCGUGAGGAACCUGCCUUGAAGAGGGGGACAACAGUUGGAAACGACUGCUAAUACCGCAUGACGCAUAGAGGUCGCAUGAUCUUUAUGCCAAAGAUUUAUCGCUUCAAGAUGGCCUCGCGUCUGAUUAGCUGGUUGGCGGGGUAACGGCCCACCAAGGCGACGAUCAGUAGCCGGACUGAGAGGUUGAACGGCCACAUUGGGACUGAGAUACGGCCCAGACUCCUACGGGAGGCAGCAGUGGGGAAUAUUGGGCAAUGGGCGCAAGCCUGACCCAGCAACGCCGCGUGAAGGAAGAAGGCUUUCGGGUUGUAAACUUCUUUUAAGAGGGAAGAGCAGAAGACGGUACCUCUAGAAUAAGCCACGGCUAACUACGUGCCAGCAGCCGCGGUAAUACGUAGGUGGCAAGCGUUGUCCGGAUUUACUGGGUGUAAAGGGCGUGCAGCCGGGUCUGCAAGUCAGAUGUGAAAUCCAUGGGCUCAACCCAUGAACUGCAUUUGAAACUGUAGAUCUUGAGUGUCGGAGGGGCAAUCGGAAUUCCUAGUGUAGCGGUGAAAUGCGUAGAUAUUAGGAGGAACACCAGUGGCGAAGGCGGAUUGCUGGACGAUAACUGACGGUGAGGCGCGAAAGUGUGGGGAGCAAACAGGAUUAGAUACCCUGGUAGUCCACACUGUAAACGAUGAAUACUAGGUGUGCGGGGACUGACCCCCUGCGUGCCGCAGUAAACACAAUAAGUAUUCCACCUGGGGAGUACGAUCGCAAGGUUGCAACUCAAAGGAAUUGACGG
Molecule: ribosomal RNA, 915 nt
Filed under: uncultured Bacteroidota bacterium
Lineage: Bacteria; Pseudomonadati; Bacteroidota
Description: bacterial SSU rRNA
Rfam family: Bacterial small subunit ribosomal RNA
Source: RNAcentral